This is a non-coding RNA of Danio rerio (zebrafish), 115 nucleotides long. The record is from Rfam. NCBI's taxonomy places the organism in Eukaryota, Metazoa, Chordata, Actinopteri, Cypriniformes, Danionidae.
GCCGGCUGCUAGCUCUCUGCAACUCUCACAUGGUCGCCCACUGAAGCUAAGCAGGGCCUCUCCUGAUCAGUACCUGGAUGGGAGACCACAUGGGAAAACUAGGUUGCUUCCGGAA